Trichonephila clavipes is the source of this 77-nucleotide non-coding RNA. The record is from the annotation of a GenBank genome assembly. NCBI's taxonomy places the organism in Eukaryota, Metazoa, Arthropoda, Arachnida, Araneae, Nephilidae.
GUUCCUGUAGCGCAAUGGAUAGCGCGCGCGUUGGACUUCUAAUCCAAAGGUCGUGAGUUUGAAUCCCACAUGGAAUG